AGAUAUUGGAGAGUUUUUUUUUAUUGACCCGUCUGGUUCGCCAUGACUGGUCUCGUGGGCCUUCAAGACCCCUUUAAUUUAUGAAGUUUUUUUUGGGUUAUAUUUAGCAGAUUUAGAUUUCCCCUUUUCCUUCUUUUUUUAAAAAAAAAUCCAAGUUUUGUUUGAUUUUAGAUGAAGUUUUUAUUUAACAAUUAAAUCCUUGUUAUCAUUAUUAUUAAUAACUCAUAUUUAAUU
Molecule: long non-coding RNA, 234 nt
Filed under: Lathyrus oleraceus (garden pea)
Lineage: Eukaryota; Viridiplantae; Streptophyta; Magnoliopsida; Fabales; Fabaceae
Description: Pisum sativum (pea) long non-coding RNA (PSAT_LNC024095)
Source: RNAcentral